Molecule: long non-coding RNA, 265 nt
Organism: Lontra canadensis (Northern American river otter)
Lineage: Eukaryota; Metazoa; Chordata; Mammalia; Carnivora; Mustelidae
Exons: 3
Source: RefSeq, a predicted model, not a curated record
GUCCUCUAAAGACCGUGGCAACGAGAGACAAGGCUCUUCAGGUCUUCAUCUUCACCAGAUGGUCCUUCCUCCUUGACUCGAUUCAUCUGAUGAAAUACUAUUCAUCCAGUGGGGCCUAGAUAAAGUGACAUUCAUUCCACCAUAGAAGCUACACUUAGGAGACACUGGACAUUUUGGAUCAUAGGAGUGCUAUGAUUCAAUACAAUGGAAUACUAUGAAGCCAUCAAAAAACCUGAAAUCUUGCCUUUUGCAACAACGUGGAUGG